GUAGGAGUGAACCAGCCAGCAUACAGUUAUAACUCAUUACUCAGAGAAAGAUGUUUAAUUAGCCAUGAAGUUAGUGUACAAUGAGAUUUCUAUUGGCUAUUUGUAGUCUCACUGGAUUGCCUUUUCAAGGUCCCCUCUGUGAUUCUUUUUUGCAUACAAUGAGAUGAGAGCCUAAAAGGAAAUUUGUUGGCAAUGUUGGCAUUUAUACUUCACCAUCAGGCAGGGAGCUCUGGGAAUUCAAGAGGCAAGGCUGCUGUUGGUUGGAUUAGUUUCAGAAGCAUCCUUUCAUCUUUCAAAUCAUUAGUGUGUAGUUCUGCAUAUGAAAAAGGAAGUUUUGCAGAAGCACAGGGUUAUAGGACCCAUGAAAUUUAACAGAGGCACAGAGCUAUAGGACUCAACAGUGUGAUCCCCAAAUUUUAGGGCAAUGAUAAGAAAAUACCAAUGUCUAAGACUGAAGCCAAUAUUAUCACAUUAAUUGAAUGAGAUUCAUCAUUUACAGAAAUCAUGUACCAAAACAGAUAAUAUUUUUAAAGUUUUCAUAAAUUUGAAUGCAAGGGCUCAUUGUCACAGACUCUUCCAAAUCCAAUCUCUGUUGUGACGAGACUGAGGUACUCUUGUUAAAUUAAGUGUAUGAGGGCAUGUGUGUGGGAAUGUUAGUCAUGGGUGUGCGUACGUAGGUACGUUAGGAAGGGGAGUGUGGAUGGAUAUUUAAUGUGCAUAGAGUAUAGACACGGAAGCCUGAAAACAGAUUUGUCAGUGUGGCUCCAACUCUGUUCUUGGCUUGUCGGUUUGGCUUGUGGAGUGUGGUGUGGCGUAUAGCAUGGUAGGGUGAGAUGGUUGCUGUGGUGGGGUGGCACAUUUGUGGAAGGGUGUGUGGCUCGGUGGGGUGGGUUGGUGUGUGGUGUGGUUGGACCUGGUAUGUGGUUUGAUGGGGUGCAGUUGGUGUGGACCGAGCGUUAGUGAGGGGUUUGGCAUGGGGUGUUGAUUAUGUGGGAUGUGGGAGGUGGAAGACCAGAAUAUAUGCGUGUGUGUGUGGACAGUGUGUAGAUAUGGGUGUGUGUGUGUGUGUGCGUGUGUAUGAUACAGUUGGAGCUUAGCUUAGCUUUUGUUUAGAUUUUCUUUUGCCCUUUGUUUUGGUCUUUGUUUUUGUCUUUGUUUGGCCUUUGUUUUGUCUUUGUUUCAUUCUUUGUUUAAACAUUCUUUGGCUUUUGUUUGGUCUUUCUUUAGCCUUUUGUUUAAACUUUGUGUGGCCUUUUUGUAGUCUCUGUAUAGCUUUGUUUUUAAGUGGAUCUUGGCGGAGAACUCAUCAAAAACACCUUCUGUAAUGAAAACCCCGGAUAUAUAAUCUGUCCCUAUAUAUUCUGCAUGCAUUGAGGUAGCCUCAACCCCUGCCCCCCAGGGACUUGGUGCAGACGUGGAACCUGUUUCACGCAACUGCUACUUGAAGGGAAAAAAGAAGCAAAUGAUACCGAGAAAAGCUCAUAACAGAGAUCUAUUCACCAGAUGUGUACGGAUGAAAAUACAGAUUGAAAAGGAAGACCAAGCCAACUCCUCGGAAGAAGUGAUGGAGGAGUUUCAAGUGAAUGGACAGCCUCGGCUCCUGGACUCACUGCUUCUUGACCCACGUGCCCUGGGACAGGUUAUCUGGCUUUGAAUAUGACGCAGGGGCAGACACCUGCUGAUGUGGCCACAGCCGAUGCCCACAGUCCCCAUGGCGCAGCAGCCACUGGGCAGCCUGCCUGGAGCAUUUUGAAGAUAUUGUCCUAUUGUCUCCUGACGUCUAUAAUUGCCAAUGAGAAAUACGUUGUCAGUCUGCUUGUCCUUCCAUUGACUCAAGUUUCUUCAAUCUGAAGGUAUAUAUCUUUCUUCAGGGAUGUGCAAAAAAAAAGAUAUUGUUGUACAACCACCAUAAUGGCAAAAAUUAAAAAUUACCAAGUUUUGGCAAGCAAAAUUACCAAGUGGGAAAAAUUCUCAUAAGCUACUUAUGAGAAUUUAUAAACUAUUACAACAUUUCUGGGGUGCAAUCUGGGGAUACCGGCAAAACAAGAUAUUGUAUAACCUACGGUCAAGCAAUUAUAAUUUUAGGCACCAAUCCUGAGAAAACUUGCAUUCAUAGAAAAAGGAGAUACAUGUACACCUGUUCAGUGAACUAAUCAAAAUGUCCAUCAAUAGGAGAAUAAACGAAUCAAUAAUAUAAUAUUCAUAAAUAAAAUCCCAAAUGGCAGUUAAAAUAAAUGAAUCAGAUACACUCAUACCAGGUAGACAAAUUUGGAAAACAAAAUGAAGAAUAUAAAAAAGCAAAAAGUAGAUGGUAAAUGCAGUAUGAUGCCCUAUGCAUAAAUGUUAACCACCCACAAUGCUAUCAUUGCCCAACACACAGAAACCAUAAGAUGUCACACCCUCUACAAUGCAAAAGAACUUAAAAAAUGACAACAGAAUAAAAGGAAGUCCAAGAAAUAUCUAUCCUCUUGGAAAUCAAAAAGAAGAUAAACAAUUCCUGAUUUGAAGAAAGAACAGAAAUUAAAAGCUAUAUAGAAACGGUCAACAGAAUUAGCCAGACACAAACGUGCUUGGGGAGGUAAGGGAGACUACUGAUCAACCUGCGGUCUCUCCAAGGUUACGAGUCUUAGAAAACAAACAUACUUGUUCAGAGUCAAUUUUUUAUCUGGGUUGUACUGUGGCUUCUGCUGGUUUCUGACAUAGGAAAAGGGGGAAGAGUUAGAAUGUACCCCUCCCUCUCUCCCAACUUUCUUUUGGUAACAGGUGGGAAAGCACAGUAGAAGAUAAUGGAACGUAGUAGAAUGUGGAGGGAUGUAAAAUGGGCAGUAUUAGGCGGAGGGAAACUCAGAGCACAGGAGAGCGAGAGCAUUGGGGCUGGUGUUGCGCUGGGAGCUGGGGCGGCCGAGCACAGGCAGAUGCCUGAAGCACCAACCGGGCCAUGGAUCUGUGUCCUUGAGUGAGCACAGCCAGACCUAGCCAAGCUUGAAGGGCAAGUGAGAAUCCGGGGGCAAUGCCAGGAGAAGUCCUGCUCUGGGUGUGGGGCUGGGCGAGAGGGAAUGCCAGGAGCAGGGAAGAAGCGUGCUAGACUCAGAUGGGCUUUAGCUCAGAACGCCACACUCCUGGAGAGAGGAAGCAGGCCAACUACUGUCCCAAGGCAGCUGGAGGGACAGAGCAUCCUGGCUUCCUCAUUUGGGGAGGCCACUUCUCUGUGGAAGUGGCCAUAAAAAGGCAGGGAAUCAAACUACACUGAGCCUUCAGGUAGAAAUGUUUCCUGCCUAAAUUCAGGUGCUAAAUGAACAACAAAAUGAGGACCUCUACUAUGAACAGUUCCCAAAGAUGAGAUAUCUGAGGCCAUUACAUUCCUGGGAAUAAAACCAGGGGUGCCAUGACAGACCACCAGAAAGAACAAAUUAGUGGGCCAGCCCCACUGAGACCUAAAGAGGAAACUUCAUAUUCCUUUAGCUCAUUUUAGAUUUGGCAAAGUCAGACCCUGUGCUCCGAACUUGCUGGGUUCUGUCAUCCACAUUAUCUAGAAGAUACCCAGUUACUAUAGAAUGUGACGUCAAGGAGAGAACAUGGUGUGUAUUAAUUUAUGUAAAAAACUGGAUAUCAGCACAGAAAUGUUAAUAACCAGAAAUGACUGAAUUCUCCAUGUUGUCUGUCGUGGAAAUAAAGGCCUCUGGGGAUGGAUCAAAAAUAUCUGGAAAUUACUUGAAACUGGUGAAUAACUAAAUGGAAUUAUAACUAAAAUGUUACUAAAUCCAAUUGUAUUUUUUGUCUUUUAAGGGUUGGUUCUGGGGAGCACUAUGCAGUGAAUAUUAUAAAAAUGACAUAAAGCUCUGAAAGCUACUCUAUGUAAAUUUCUCGAGUCGGAAUUCUCAACCCUAAUGUUUGGCAUAUUAUUCUGAUAAUUCUGUAUGUCAAUUGAUUUUGUGUUCUGACAUUUUGACCGGUUUUGGGAAAACUGAGGUAUGUACGCAGAGUUGUCCUGAUGAAAGCUUAAAAAACUGGCUGUCUGGGUGGAAAGUCCUGAUUGACAGUGUUUGCCAGUUUCCAUGGUGUAAAUACUUCCAUUAGGGUUGACUGCAAGCUAUGAACUUGCUAUCACUGAGUGUAGAAUUGUGAAGAGAUGUACAAAGUUGACCCUUGUGACUUGGUCUAGGCCACUGUAUACACUCAUGAGCCUGUGUGUAACCACAGUGUUUUACUAAAAAUGUUGCCCCAUAAAUAUACAAAGGCACUAUUGAAAGAAAAAAAUAUAAAGGGAAAAUCAAUUCCAAUUGGGAGCUCAAAGGGAGAAAACUGACAAAGGAUUUUUUUUAAACUUUGUCUAUAUUCUGCAAUUUAUUAUUAUCUUUUAUUAAACAAACAAGGCAUCUAUAUGUCAUCCUGAGUGUUCCAAACUCUCGGUUUCUUUGGUGUUCCCCUAGAUGGAGGCUAGGGUUUCUCUCCUUUCAGAUAUUGGUGCUAAGACGAUGCUGACCAAAGAAUCGAUGGGACCUGCUCACUGUGAAGCCAGUUUCAGGAUGGCAGAGCUGAGGGUGGAUACAGAAGAAAAGAUGUGGAGCCUUCUGAAUUUGGGGAGGCUAUGCUUGAUAUUUACACUUCUGGUUUGGUAUGAUAAUAUUAUAUUGCUUUUGAAAAAUUAAUGCUCACGGAAAUAAGAAAAAUCAGUUGUUCAAAAAUUGGGAAAAAAAUGGAUCAAUAAACUCUUCUAUUAGAGUAAGCCAAGAAAAAUGUAAUAAAAUUGAGAUGAAUUGGAAAUACCAAUAAAA
This is an RNA transcript of Hippopotamus amphibius kiboko, 4775 nucleotides long. It is a transcript of the gene named myelin associated oligodendrocyte basic protein, with no coding region annotated. Lineage: Eukaryota; Metazoa; Chordata; Mammalia; Artiodactyla; Hippopotamidae. The record is from RefSeq and is a predicted model, not a curated record. The transcript has 5 exons.